CUAGCGACUUCAGAGUUUGAUCCUGGCUCGAGGACGAACGCUGGCGGCGCGCCUAACACAUGCAAGUCGAACGAGUGGAUGGUCUUCGGACCUGAAGCUAGUGGCGGACGGGUGAGUAACACGUGAGGAACCUGCCUUCCAGAGUGGGAUACCGUUUGGAAACGAACGUUAAUACCGCAUAAUGUAUAUUGAUCGCAUGGUCGAUAUACCAAAGAUUUAUCGCUGAGAGAUGGCCUCGCGUCUGAUUAGAUAGUUGGUGAGGUAACGGCCCACCAAGUCUACGAUCAGUAGCCGGACUGAGAGGUUGAUCGGCCACAUUGGGACUGAGACACGGCCCAG
Molecule: ribosomal RNA, 339 nt
Filed under: uncultured bacterium
Lineage: Bacteria
Description: bacterial SSU rRNA
Rfam family: Bacterial small subunit ribosomal RNA
Source: RNAcentral